RNAcentral lists this small RNA (171 nucleotides) under Chrysemys picta bellii (western painted turtle). RNAcentral's name for it is "TUC338 (ENSCPBG00000001295.1)". Lineage: Eukaryota; Metazoa; Chordata; Testudines; Emydidae. The record is from RNAcentral.
CAGAGGCCUGGAGACUAAAGUCCUCUCUAUCUACAGAAUAAGCACAGCAACAGCUGUGGGGGCAGUACAAGCUUCCCCAUGCUGCCCUGCCAACAUGUGUUAAAUCUGGUUUGGAGAGGCCAUCUCUAUGGAUAAGAGGUUAAUUCAGUUAAGCCUCUGUUGAGGCAUCCU